AGCUUAUUACCUACACUCAUUGACCGUAUUUUUCCUCUCUUGUGAACCACAGUUUCUGGUCUGACUCCUUAUUUCUCUUGGAUUAUUUUUUUCCAAAGGCAACCACUUAGCCAGAUUUUCAAAGCCUUUCUGCUGUUCCAUCUCCUGAACAGACAUAAAUGUUCUUCCUGCCCAAUUACCCUGUCAUCUGCUAGAGGCAUCCUCAUCUUUCUUGUUUUAAGGGGACUGCCUCCUCACCGCUGGUGUACGCCACUGUGGGUGACUAUUCUUUUCCUACAGUGCUGGAUUCUAGUUGCUAAGAUUUUAUGGAGGGUCUCUGCACUUCCAUUCAUGCGGGAAGCUGGUCUGUGCUUCCUUUUUCUGCGUUUAGCUGCAGCACAGUGAUGAGAGCCACAGGUUCUCGAACAAGCCUGCCUGCGCCAAGUACAUGGCACAGUGGCUGGUGCCCCUUGCAGCUCAUUCCCACACCUGGGCCACGUGGGUUCUGGGGAGCAGAUGGGGUGGCUUCCUUUGUGGAGUCUCUGAGCUGCAAGCUCUUUGGAGUCACAAGGGUGGCUCCCUGACAACCUACUAAAAAUACAAAAAAUUAGCUGGGCAUGGGGGCGCACACCUGUAAUCCCAGCUACUCGGGAGGCUGAGGCAGGAGAACUGCUUGAACCCGGGAGGUGGAGGUUGCAGUGGUCUCUCCUGCCUUCUGCCCCACAGUCAAAUUCGUUCUGAGAAGGCAAGAAUUGAGGUUGCUGCAGACCCGUACAGAUAUGUUCUGACGCUAACAGGAACAUGGGUAGGGGACGGGGGCACCCUGGCUUCCAGUGAGACCCCAAAGGGUGUUUCAAAUAGUCACACGUCAUCUUAUGAUGACGUCAUCACACAGUGGCAAUCAAGAAACACAUUUUUUUACUUUUUAUUAUUAAUUUUUAUUUAUUUGAGAUAGGGUGUCCCUCUGUUGCCCAGGCUGGAGUGCAGUGGCACCAUCGCUGCUCACUGCACCUUCUGCCUCCCUGGUUCAAGCCAUUCUCCUGCCUCAGCCUCCGGAGUAGCUGGGACUACAGGCACUUACCACUAUGCCCGGCUAAUUUUUGUAUUUUUAGUAGAGACGGGGUUUCACCAUGGUGGCAGGCACCUGUAAUCCUAGCUACUUGGGAGGCUGAAGCAGGAGAAUCGUUUGAACCUGGGAGGCAGAGGUUGCAGUGAGCUGAGAUCGCGCCAUUGCACUCCAGCCUGGGUGACAGUGCGAGACUACAUCUCAAAAAAAAAAAAAAAAAAGAAAAAGAAAAUGGUAUCUUGGACUCCAGGGAAUUUCUCCUUGGAUUAAGUGAACUAGGAUUUGGUAUUUGCAACCCUAAAAUUCCUUCCCAAAAGGGCUCCUGUGAAUGGGCUGCCUCUGAGCAUGUUUAAGAGGUGCCAAAAUGAAUUAAACUUUGAGAAGUAUAAAUGAGCAAUUUAGAGGCUUUCAGCUCUAACCUAUGUGAUUUUGGCUUUUAGUUU
Molecule: long non-coding RNA, 1488 nt
Filed under: Homo sapiens (human)
Lineage: Eukaryota; Metazoa; Chordata; Mammalia; Primates; Hominidae
Description: non-protein coding lnc-GAL-3:1
Source: RNAcentral